Molecule: transfer RNA, 2103 nt
Filed under: Sus scrofa (pig)
Lineage: Eukaryota; Metazoa; Chordata; Mammalia; Artiodactyla; Suidae
Description: lncRNA (ENSSSCG00015075199.1)
Rfam family: tRNA (bases 542-615)
Source: RNAcentral
CCGCAGCUCAGCUUCCCUGCGGGUAUCUGCCGCCGGUUCACACUGUUUCUUUACGGAAGCAGCUCCUUUGUCUCGGGAUCAGGGGGGAUCCAGGGUUUCUCUGAAUCUCCCAGCUUUGCCUAGCCCCUGUCUGAGAAGAGCUGGACCGGGAUGAAACCACAGUGAGACAGAGGGGGGUGGAGGUAGAGAAGGCUCCGGUUUUCUCCGCUGCUUAAUUAGCAUGAGAAUAGAAAGACUUCUCCCUAGCCUCCCUUAGGGAUGGAGAGGAAAGAAGAGCAAAGGCUCUGGCUCUGUCCUACUUCGUCAGAGAUUCUGGGGCUGGGAAAAUGAUCACCACCAUGUUCCUCCAAUCCUCUGAGGACCCAGGGACCCACGGUACUGAGAAAAGCUUUGAUGGAGCCGGCUGGUGGAUCUCCACUCCAGAUUUUCCAGCUGUCCCUGUCCCCCCCCACCGCUCAGAGAGCAGGAUGCUGAGAUGGCUCGGUGAUGCAGAAGGUAUGUGCUUUUUCAGUUCUGGUGCUGAUGCUGUGUGUGUGGUGAGGUCUCUGUGGCGCAAUGGACGAGCGCGCUGGACUUCUAAUCCAGAGGUUCCGGGUUCGAGUCCCGGCAGAGAUGGUCACCUGGCAGGCACUGUAGUUCCUGACUGUAUGUUGAAAGAAGGAGGAUGAGAACAGGUGACAUUUUUGGCUACCAAAACAUCAAUCUGCAUGCAGAGAAGGGACUGAUCUCAUUAUUCCCCCAUGGAGAACAAAGAAGGAAAUCACAGAUGUUGUGAAGAAGAGAGAAUUUCAGGACCCCAACGUGUAUGUGCUUAGCAAGAGACUUUGCUAAACCAUGGGAGAGAGCUGUUCAGUGACCAGCUCACAGGACAGAGGCCAAGGCAGGGGUGGUGGUGAUGGUGGGGUCUCCCUUCAGCUUCUUCCCUGAUCCCUGAGCAUGGCUGAGACGAAGGCCAUGGCCCUGCUUCCACAGAAAACCUACUUCAGGAGUCAUCUUACAACACCUUAUUCAAUGGGAGCUCUGAGAGCCAGAAUCUGAAAUGCCACCAGAUUGAGGGGGCACCAUUUAUGCACGAAAGGCCCAAAUUCUAUGUUCCUUCAUAGAAACAAAUCCUUAACCCACUGAGCAAGGCCAGGAAUCGAACCUUUGUCCUCAUGGAUGCUAGUCAGAUUCGUUAACCGCUGAGCCACAACGGGAACUCCAGUACGCUUUUUUUUUUUUUUUUCAACAAAUUAUGGUACAUGCAGUCAUACCUUCAUGCUCUGCCUUGGUAUACCAGGGCCUAUGGACCUCAAAGUGUCUUUUUAAAAAGAACUGUGAUGAUUUUUCCAAUGAAGCUUUUCUCAACUUUCCAGCAAAUUAUCGAUGAAGACAAGGAUAAAUGUGAAGGUUUGCAAAGAAAAAUUUUACACCACCCGUCAACCUAUGGCCAGAGUGUGAGAAGCUGAUGGUGAUGAAGUGUAAGCCGUAGGCUUAAUGUCUUUUGCUACCCAAAAUCUGUCCUUAAAACCUAAAAUUAAAAUGUUCGAAAGACAUUUUGUCCUUCCCCCAAUUGUUGUCCCUCCAGGUUAGAAAAAUUGGGUUGAUUCCAAGCAGAAAACUGAGAUUAGGAGUUUUGGCUCAGUGAGUUAAAGAACCCAACAUGGUGUCUGUGAGGAUGUGGGUUCAAUCCCUGGCCUUGCUUGGUGGUUUAAGGAUCAGGUGUUGCUGUGGCUGUGGUGCAGGCCUGCAGCUGCAGCUCUGAUUCAACCCCUAGCCCAGGAACUUCCACAUGCUGCAGUGUGGACAUUUGAAAGAAAGAAAAAAAGAAAGUUAAUUUCAGCUGUACAGCAGAGUGAAUCAGCCAUGCAUAUAUACAUAUCUACUCUUUUGCAGAUUCUUUUCCCAUCUAGGUUAUUACAGAAUAUUGAGUAGAGUUCCCUGUGCUAUACAGCAGGUCCUUGUUAGUUAUCUGUUCUAUAUAUAGCAGUGUGUGUAUGUAAAUUCCUAAGUUAUCCUUUCUCCCCACAUUUCCCCCUUGGCAACCAUUCGUUUGAUUGAGAUCUGUGAGUCUGUUUCUGUUCUGUAAAUAAAUUCAUUUGUAUCAUUUUAAAAUUAGAUUCU